GAUGAACGCUGGCGGCGUGCCUAAUACAUGCAAGUCGAGCGAACAGAUGAGGAGCUUGCUCCUCUGACGUUAGCGGCGGACGGGUGAGUAACACGUGGAUAACCUACCUAUAAGACUGGGAUAACUUCGGGAAACCGGAGCUAAUACCGGAUAAUAUAUUUAACCGCAUGGUUCAAUAGUGAAAGACGGUUUUGCUGUCACUUAUAGAUGGAUCCGCGCCGCAUUAGCUAGUUGGUAAGGUAACGGCUUACCAAGGCAACGAUGGGUAGCCGACCUGAGAGGGUGAUCGGCCACACUGGAACUGAGACACGGUCCAGACUCCUACGGGAGGCAGCAGUAGGGAAUCUUCCGCAAUGGGCGAAAGCCUGACGGAGCAACGCCGCGUGAGUGAUGAAGGUCUUCGGAUCGUAAAACUCUGUUAUUAGGGAAGAACAAAUGUGUAAGUAACUAUGCACGUCUUGACGGUACCUAAUCAGAAAGCCACGGCUAACUACGUG
Molecule: ribosomal RNA, 497 nt
Filed under: uncultured bacterium
Lineage: Bacteria
Description: partial 16S ribosomal RNA
Rfam family: Bacterial small subunit ribosomal RNA
Source: RNAcentral